Non-coding RNA from Ktedonobacter sp. 13_2_20CM_53_11, 234 nucleotides. The record is from Rfam. Lineage: Bacteria; Bacillati; Chloroflexota; Ktedonobacteria; Ktedonobacterales; Ktedonobacteraceae.
GUCACGUACCCUAUCGCCUUGAAGGCGAUGGGCUUGUGCAGAACGAAGCCCUGGACGUGAGCAGCCCCCCAGGCAUGCCUGGGAGCAGUUUGGCGCGAAUGCGAAUAGGCACGCCGCAAUGACGGUCCAGUUGCGGCCGCUGCGGUCAACGAUUAAACAGACGGGCAGGGUGCGAGUCAGUGUUGUUGGCACAUCAAGGAAACCGCGCACAAACAGGGGCGAGGACAACUUUAC